This 253-nucleotide ribosomal RNA is filed under the name uncultured bacterium. Its description in RNAcentral is "partial 16S ribosomal RNA". It matches the Rfam family "Bacterial small subunit ribosomal RNA", at positions 524 to 776 of the family's 1533-position model. The record is from RNAcentral.
UACGGAGGGGGCUAGCGUUGUUCGGAAUUACUGGGCGUAAAGCGCGCGUAGGCGGACCUGCAAGUCGGGGGUGAAAGCCCGAGGCUCAACCUCGGAACUGCCUUCGAUACUGCGGGUCUCGAGUCCGGGAGAGGUGAGUGGAAUUCCUAGUGUAGAGGUGAAAUUCGUAGAUAUUGGGAGGAACACCAGUGGCGAAGGCGGCUCACUGGACCGGUACUGACGCUGAGGCGCGAAAGCGUGGGUAGCAAACAGG